CACAAGUGUGAUCAGUAACUCUGUCCAGGAACCGUGAACAAAUUAAUGUGUUUAAGGCAAGCUCGUGUAUCCAAUACAUAGCUUGAAUAAUUUAGCAUGGAACCACUAUACCCUCUUUUUGGAGGGACCUGGUAAUAAAAGCUCGGCGGAGGACUCUGGUAUUGCGCACUUAGAGGUGAAAUUCCGAUAUUUCCGCAAGACGAACGGAUGCGUAGGCUGUCAUUGCCCAUCACACCUUUAUUGAUCAGGAACGAGAGUCAGGGGAUCGAAGAUGAUUAGAUACCGUCGUAGUCCUGACUGUAAACUAUACUAACAAGAGUUUGUGUAGACACUACUCUGUAUGAUCUUCGCAGAAUCCAAGGGAAACCUCAAGUUUUUGGGUUCUGGGGGGAGUAUAGUCGCAAGGCCGAAACUUAAAGGAAUUGACGGAAAGGCACCACCAGGAGUGGAGUUUGCGGCUUAAUUCGACUCAACGCGGGGAAACUCACCAGGUUAGGACAGAGGAGAGAUUGACAGGUUGAGAGUCCUUUCUUGAUUCUUUGAUUGGUGGUGCAUGGCCGUUCUUAGUUCGUGGAGUGAUUUGUCUGGUUAAUUCCGUUAACGAACGAGACCUUAACCUGCUAAUUAGCGCAUGGGUCGGUACCCCCGACCUUUCACCCUUUGGGUGCUUGCU
Molecule: ribosomal RNA, 673 nt
Filed under: uncultured eukaryote
Lineage: Eukaryota
Description: bacterial SSU rRNA
Rfam family: Eukaryotic small subunit ribosomal RNA
Source: RNAcentral